UACGGAGGAUGCGAGCGUUAUCCGGAUUUAUUGGGUUUAAAGGGUGCGUAGGCGGACUGAUAAGUCAGCGGUAAAAUUGCGGGGCUCAACCCCGGCGAGCCGUUGAGACUGUCGGACUAGAGACGGCGAGAAGUAGGCGGAAUGCGCAGUGUAGCGGUGAAAUGCUUAGAUAUUGCGCAGAACUCCGAUUGCGAAGGCAGCCUUCCGGCGCCGGCCUGACGCUGAGGCACGAAAGCGUGGGUAUCGAACAGG
Molecule: ribosomal RNA, 252 nt
Filed under: uncultured bacterium
Lineage: Bacteria
Description: partial 16S ribosomal RNA
Rfam family: Bacterial small subunit ribosomal RNA
Source: RNAcentral